This 380-nucleotide RNase P RNA is filed under the name Actinomyces sp. RNAcentral describes it as "RNase P RNA component class A". It matches the Rfam family "Bacterial RNase P class A". From Rfam's summary of the family: Ribonuclease P (RNase P) is a ubiquitous endoribonuclease, found in archaea, bacteria and eukarya as well as chloroplasts and mitochondria. Its best characterised activity is the generation of mature 5'-ends of tRNAs by cleaving the 5'-leader elements of precursor-tRNAs. Cellular RNase Ps are ribonucleoproteins. Lineage: Bacteria; Bacillati; Actinomycetota; Actinomycetes; Actinomycetales; Actinomycetaceae. The record is from RNAcentral.
CGAGCCGACCGGGCGGCCGCGGCAUCCUCGGGCCACCGGGGAGUCGAGGAACGUCCGGGCUCCACAGAGCAGGGCGGUGGCUAACGGCCACCCGGGGUGACCCGCGGGACAGUGCCACAGAGAACAGACUGCCAGCGCAUGCGCUGGUGAGGGUGAAACGGUGGGGUAAGAGCCCACCAGCGCGACGGGCGACCGUCGUGGCUCGGUAAACCCCGUCCGGAGCAAGACCGCACAGCAGGCGCUUGAGGGCUGCUCGUCCGAGCCUGCGGGUAGGUCGCGUGAGGCCACCGGCAACGGUGGUCCAAGAUGGAUGGUCGCCGCCGCCCAACACCGGCAACGGUGGGCGGUAACAGAACCCGGCGUACAGGUCGGCUCGUCCG